CCCUUUUGGUUGUUUCAUGUGGGAGAGUAAAUCUGCUCCCUGGGUGAAAGAGGAAACCCUACCAUUUCCAUUUAAAUCCACUAUAAUUAUAUCCAUUUAGUUGACAGAUUAUCUAGCCUCUUGCCAUUAUCUACAGUCAAUUGAAUGCUGUAGCUUAUUUGCAUCUAGCUUUUGUAUGAACCUCUAGAAGUUACUUCAGAAAUUAUUAAUGUGAUUUGGAAGGUAUUUUAUUUUCAUAAGGUCUUUGUUUCUUUUUUUACAGCAUAGCUGAUGCUUCUGUUUUAAUAGGUUCCUCCCUUACAUUUGUUACAUAUGUGUCAACCAGGCUAAUUGUUUACAGCACCUGAGCUUUUAAGUUCUUAUUGAUUUUUUUUCAUCGCUUAAAUUAGAAUUGUAUGUAUGAAACCAUUUAUUUGAUUAAGUGUGUAAUAGUUGAUGUCCUUAUUUAAUAGACAAAAAUAUCUGGGGGGAUUAGGAGACCAAUAUUUAUGAAUCAUAUGUAAUAUGACAAUAAAUAUCAUAAACAUAACCAAAAUUAAUAUUAAUUACGGACCUGUUUUUGGCCAAGUACUGAGCUGAGUUCCCCCCACCACAUUAUCUUAAUUAUCUUCUACUCCAUUUUUCCAGGCAGGGAGAUUGAGUUUCAUAAAGUUUAAAUAAUUGCUAAGAGUCAUUUGGCCUGUAUCUAGGGUUUCAACUCGAGUUACCUAAUUCCAAAGUACAAAUUCUUGCUCUUCUGACAAACUGGCCCAGGAAGAAAUCAAUUUGUUGCUGAUCACUAGACUUUCCACAUGUAGUUACUAAUGUGCCCAACUACAGAAAGACACAUUAAAAUCAUCUCAAAAGCAAGUGAAAUAUCAAAAUCCUUUGAGGUAGACUUUUUAUCAAUGCCCUUCUCUCAACCUAAAAUCCUUUAAGGAGCACAUUAUUUAGUGACUACAAAUAAUAAAGGCCAUGAAUGAGUUGGGACUCAUUUCUACUUAGAAAAAGGUUUAUUUGGAUUAUCUAGAGUCAGCCCCCAAAUAAAUACCAUGUGAUUUAAAUAUCUAAGCAUAGGAGUUCCCAUUGUGGCUUAGAGGAAACGAAUCUGAGUAGCAUCCAUAAGGAUGCAGUUUGAUCCCUGGCCUUGCGCAGUGGGCUAAGGAUCCAGUGUUGCCAUGAGCUGUGGUGUAGGUUGCAGAUGUGGCUCGGAUCUGAUGUGGCUGUGCCUGUGGUGUAGGCCAGUGGCUACAGCUAUGAUUUGACUCCUGGCCUGGAAACCUCCAUAUGCUGUGAGUGUGGCCCUAAAAUGACAAAAACAAAACAAAACAAAACAAAAACAAUUUAAAUAGCUAAGCAUAGAAAAUAAAGUCAUAAAGUAUUAAAAUGAAAUUAGGUAACUUUUUAAAAACAUGAACUUGUGAGAUGCCUUUCUAAGAAACAAAAUCAAGAAACCAUAAAGGAAAAUAUCUGACAAAUAAGUUGUGAUUUUUAAAUUUCUAUCUGUACCAAAAAUAUUCCAAAAAUUCCCCAAAAACUCUCAAGCAACCGAACUUGGAGGAAAUGUUUAUGACAUUUGUUGAUAAUGCGUUAAUGUUCUUAAUUGAACUAUCCUCAUCAUUACUCCAUAGUUUUUCUCAGCAUUAUUUUCAAACUAAGGUCCUUGCUGUGGAGAACCUUUUCUCUCAGGCCACCAUCCCUCUGGUUAAGUCUGGGUCUAUCUUCAUUCAGAGUUCCUAGGAUCAUAAAGAGAGUUAGCUAAGUCUGUGCAGAAGCUCUGGCUCUGCCAUUUACAAGCUACACGACACUGGUCAAGUUAUGGGAUUCUCCACCUCUCAGUGUAACAACCCAGUGAGAAUAGCAACAGUACUGAGCUCACUGAUUUUUGUGAGAAUCACUUAUUGUUGACUUUGGUUUAUAGUAAAUGUUCAGUAAAUGGUGGCCAGUAAAUUUCUCCCUGUUGCAUCCUCAGUGCAAGGACAUCUGACAUAUAAAGGCACUCGGUAUUUGUUGAAUAAAUAAAUUGCUUCUACAAGUCAAUAACAAAUGGACACCCCAUAGAAAAAUAAGCAAAUGAUAUGAUAUGAAAUACACAGAAAAGGCACAUUUUUGGAAGUACAUGGAAAUGGGUUCUAUCUCAAUGAUAAUGACAUAAAUGCAGAUUAAAACAACACCAAAUUAUCUUUUUUUAAUCUUUUGGAUUGAAAAAUAUUUAAAUGACUUAUUACAUUCAAUUUACUGCAUUGAUUAUAUCCAGUGCAAGCAAGGUUGUGGGGGAUAUGUCUCUAAGGAUGUUCAUGACCUAUGUUUUGAAAUUUAAAACAUCAGAAAUAACCUAAAUGCUCAUUAGUUGAGAACCACUUUAAAAAUCGUGAUAUAUCCAUAUAAGAGAAUGAAAGAAUAGUAAUAAGGCCCAUAGUGAAUAUUCUUAAGGCUAUAUAUUUAAAGAGAGAGCAAACUCCAGACCAAUAUAAUAAUACCUAAUAUUUGUUGAACACAUGUUAGUCAAUGUGGCAAGCAAUCUACAUGAAUUAUCUUAUUUAAUCAUCUACAUAUAUAUAUAUCCUCUAUGGACUUUAUUUUCUUCAAAUGUAAAAUAAGUAGAUAGGGCCAGAUAAGCUCUAAGUUCCUUUCCAUCCUGGCUCUAAAAUACUACCUAUGCCAAGAUACAUUUUUUGAGAGCCAUCUAGCCUUGGAAAAGGCUGAGCAUGACAGUGCCUUUGGGAGUUUAACAAUCAAAUUGAUGUCUAUUUAUAUGGUUUCUACUGUGGAAACUCUGUAGUACUUGAUUCUGCUUCCCGGAAAAAGUUUACACUCUUGUUCUCAAAUAUUUAACAAAAUGAGACCACUAUUAAUUGGUGAAGAAUGACUUUCCUACAUUAAAUAAACUGGCUCCCUCUUGAAGUCUGCCUUCCAAGCAGAGUGAGCUCAGGUCCCCUAACUAGGCAGGAGACACCAACCAUAUGCUCUCCUGAGGGUCUAGCUGUAGAUGAACAACUUUUUUUCAUUGUCUCUCCACUUGCACAGAAAGGCUUACCUCACAGUAGUCCUUGGGCUGUGAUGUUGGCAAGUGCCAGCCUUCACACAGGCAGCUGGACAGUGGAGAAUGGGAGAGUGAGGCAUAAGCAACUGGGAGGCAGUUGCCUGCUCCUUACAGAUCUUCGCAUUUGGUCCACUCACCGUCCACACCAGGGAUGUGCAAAGGAGUGCCCUUAGUUCUGCCCUGUGGAGAAAAGGCAAAUUUAAGUUGUAAACAUGUGUGGAAUAGUGUGAGAAUAUAAGGAAGUGAGUAGUGAGUUCAAGAUUUUGACUCCCUGCUCAUUGUUUUAGAAAAAUGUUAUUAGAUUGUGAAAACUUAGCAAAAAAUAUUACUCUUACAAGUGCCUUAAUUUUAACUGUUUUUUUAUUAAGAAAGCAUUGGUUAUGUCCUGUCCCUGGAUUAGUAUCUGACAAGAACAAUGUGUUUAUUAGUAGAUACAGAUUCAAAGUACAACAUAAGCUCUACCUUUUGACUAUUUGAUAGUCUUUAUCAAACAAAAAACACUUAUUGGGUAAUCAUAUCCCAAACACUGCCAUUCCAGUUGUGCAAUCUGUUGAGAAUUGUCUGAGUACUAUUAGUAGCACUGGUGGAAAAAUGGCCAUCAGAGAGGCUGGAAAAAUUGGAAUCAUCUAUUCCAAGAAAGGAUGAAAGCACACUUCUGGCAUGUGUCAGGCAGCUGGAGUAUCAAUUUGGAAAUUGAUGGCUGCUUGCUCCCAAGAUCAGGGGAGUGUACCCUCUUACAUGGACUGCAGUAAUCUAUCCAAACAUGCUUUUUGAAAAUUAAAAAGAAGGAGAGGCAGGAGAGCAGAACACAAAUGUACUUUACUCUACGAGAAAUUUUUGUUUUAUACAUGAAUUAUUUAUACACCAACUCUGACUCUCACAGCAGUAUUAUGUAGAUAUUAUAUCAGUAAUCAGGUGUCUAUAUUUAUACCUGAGGCCACUUGUUCUCUUUUUGAGCUAGAGGCUGAGUAAAGCCAAUAAAAAUCACAAAAUAACACUAUUCCUAAUAGGUUUUUUCAAAGGGUAAUAGAGUAUAACAGAAUCUUUAGUGGACUAGCCCACCUAUUCCUCGUGUAAGAUAUUGGCUUUGAGAACUUCAGAACGCAGGUUGAAUAUCUGUCUAAUUCAACAAGCUUACAUCAGAGUUCCUGUUGUAUGGUAACAAACCCUGCUAGGAUCCAUGGGCAUGUGGGUUUGAUCCCUGGCCCCACUCAGUAGGUUAGGGAUCCUGUGUUUCUGUGAGCUUUGAUGUAGGUCACAGAUGAGGCUUGGAUCUGGUGUUGCUGUGGCUAUGGUGUAGGCUGACAGCUGCAGCUCCAAUUUGACCCCUAGACUGGGAACUUCUAUAUGCCGUGUAUGUGGCCCACAAAAAAUCAAACCAAAGAAAAACAAAAUAAAACAACAACAACAAAAAAUCCCACAGGCAUACCUCAAGAGAAACCUAAAUAUGUAGCUCAAAAACAAGACAGAGGUUCUAUGGGCCUCCUUAGCCUCUGACACUGGCUACGUGGAUUUUUGGCCACUACAAAAACAGAGCUUGUUGCUACUUUGAACUUACAGCCAACAAUCUGUUUCAUUCCUCACCAUCCUCCAAUGUCAGCUUCAAUGAAGGGGAUAAGAAUGCCUUGCACCCAUUUCUGUGCCCUUCUAUUCUGAGACAGGGCUAUCCCAUACUCUCUGGGGCUUUCUCCUCCUCAAGCUUUGGGGUAAACUCCAAGACAAGAAAGGGAUGAAGAGUGGUGCUAGAAAGGCAAGAGGACAAGCUUGAUGGAGCACAUGCACUAUUUCACGUAAAAUUGAUCUUUAAAAGUGUUGUGUAUCCCUGACUUCUGACUGCCUUGGGGUGAAGUCCUUCCCAUUAAUCUUCUAUUUUUGUCUGUUCCCAAUGAAACUGUUCCCAUGAAACUCCUCUUUUUCUUCUGGAAAGCCCACCUACCUCUUAGACAUGGUUAAAUCGCCCAGGUUAUCUCUGACCUGGGCUCUUCCACUGGGAUCUCAGACAAACAGUAAGAAUUAUGAAUAGGAGAAUAAUUGAUUUGUGAGUUCCUGUGCUUGAAUUAGGGAGAAGAGAAUAAUUGAGGGAAAUACUGGUUACUCAUUUCAUUUUGAAAAGGCUAAGUUUCUAAUUAAAAAAUUAAUGCCCUUCUUAGUCAACUUGCCUAAAUAUCCUAGAUCUGCUAUUACACCUGCUCUUAUUUCUCCAGAUGGAAGAUUCAUUACUCCUUGGUUUUCUCCCUUUCACUUCAAACAGAUUGUCUUUCAGAUGUGCUCAGGAAGACUGAUACAUUAAAUUCUCCCAGUGCUGUCAGCAGUAGCUCCAUCUUAGAGUAGAAAAGAAAGACACAACCAUCCUUUUGUCAGAUGGAGACUUAGGAGAGAGGAAAAAAAAACAAAAAACAAAAAAA
RNAcentral lists this long non-coding RNA (5427 nucleotides) under Sus scrofa (pig). RNAcentral describes it as "lncRNA (ENSSSCG00005041059.1)". Lineage: Eukaryota; Metazoa; Chordata; Mammalia; Artiodactyla; Suidae. The record is from RNAcentral.